UAGAGUUUGAUCCUGGCUCAGGAUGAACGCUAGCGACAGGCUUAACACAUGCAAGUCGAGGGGCAGCGGGGAGGUAGCAAUACUUCCGCCGGCGACCGGCGCACGGGUGAGUAACACGUAUGGAACCUGCCCGUAGCAGGGGGAUAAACGGAAGAAAUUCCGUCUAAUACCGCGUAAUAACUCCGAGAGGCAUCUCAUGGAGUUUAAAGGGUAACACCGGCUACGGAUGGCCAUGCGGCGCAUUAGCUAGUUGGCGGGGUAACGGCCCACCAAGGCGACGAUGCGUAGGGGUUCUGAGAGGAAGGUCCCCCACACUGGUACUGAGACACGGACCAGACUCCUACGGGAGGCAGCAGUGAGGAAUAUUGGUCAAUGGGCGCGAGCCUGAACCAGCCAAGUCGCGUGAGGGAAGACGGUCCUAUGGAUUGUAAACCUCUUUUGUCGGGGAGCAAAAGACGCCACGUGUGGCGUUCCGAGAGUACCCGAAGAAAAAGCAUCGGCUAACUCCGUGCCAGCAGCCGCGGUAAUACGGAGGAUGCGAGCGUUAUCCGGAUUUAUUGGGUUUAAAGGGUGCGCAGGCGGAAGAUCAAGUCAGCGGUAAAAUUGAGAGGCUCAACCUCUUCGAGCCGUUGAAACUGGUUUUCUUGAGUGAGCGAGAAGUAUGCGGAAUGCGUGGUGUAGCGGUGAAAUGCAUAGAUAUCACGCAGAACUCCGAUUGCGAAGGCAGCAUACCGGCGCUCAACUGACGCUCAUGCACGAAAGUGUGGGUAUCGAACAGGAUUAGAUACCCUGGUAGUCCACACAGUAAACGAUGAAUGCUAGUUGUCCGGGGCGAUUGAGUUCUGGGUGACACAGCGAAAGCGUUAAGCAUUCCACCUGGGGAGUACGCCGGCAACGGUGAAACUCAAAGGAAUUGACGGGGGCCCGCACAAGCGGAGGAACAUGUGGUUUAAUUCGAUGAUACGCGAGGAACCUUACCCGGGCUCAAACGCAGGAGGGAUGUUUUUGAAAGGAGGCAGCCAGCAAUGGUCUCCUGCGAGGUGCUGCAUGGUUGUCGUCAGCUCGUGCCGUGAGGUGUCGGCUUAAGUGCCAUAACGAGCGCAACCCCUACCUACAGUUGCCAUCGCGUGAUGGCGGGCACUCUGUGGGGACUGCCUGCGCAAGCAGUGAGGAAGGCGGGGAUGACGUCAAAUCAGCACGGCCCUUACGUCCGGGGCGACACACGUGUUACAAUGGCAGGUACAGCGGGAAGCCACCCGGCGACGGGGCGCGGAACCCGAAAGCCUGUCUCAGUUCGGAUUGGAGUCUGCAACUCGACUCCAUGAAGCUGGAUUCGCUAGUAAUCGCGCAUCAGCCAUGGCGCGGUGAAUACGUUCCCGGGCCUUGUACACACCGCCCGUCAAGCCAUGGAAGCCGGGAGUGCCUGAAGUGUGCAACCGCAAGGAGCGCCCUAAGGUAAAACUGGUGACUGGGGCUAAGUCGUAACAAGGUAACCGUA
RNAcentral lists this ribosomal RNA (1498 nucleotides) under uncultured bacterium. Its description in RNAcentral is "16S ribosomal RNA". It matches the Rfam family "Bacterial small subunit ribosomal RNA". The record is from RNAcentral.